Molecule: long non-coding RNA, 1497 nt
Filed under: Homo sapiens (human)
Lineage: Eukaryota; Metazoa; Chordata; Mammalia; Primates; Hominidae
Description: HSALNT0251041
Source: RNAcentral
CUUCCCUCUCAGCUUUUGGUAAAAGCUGAAAUGAGGAGGAAGUAGCACCUUCCUAUGGCAUUCCUUACUCUCCUGCUCUCAGGCUCAGCUCCUUUCUGACAGAACACUGAUCUGGAAAGUCUGCAGGUCCAGUCAUCACUGUUCUCCCCAAGAGGUGAGGGAGUGGGCUCUUCUCCUCACCCGGGCCCUAGCCUGGUCUCAGCUCACCUGGGCUCACCUAGGUUGUGCUGCACCUUCAGGUCCUAUGGCCCCAGUACUGGAAGAUGCAGCUUAUGACAAUUUCAGGAUAUCGUGGGCCCUCUGUGUAUGGCAGCUAUCAUCAACAAGUCAGCCUUCUGACUUUCACUCUCCUCUCCUAUAAAACAGGUGUAACAGCUGCAACUUUGUAAGAUGGACCAUGAGUAUUGUUCGUGGUAAUAAUAAUGAACUCCAUAAAGGAAGACUUAUUGUAUGCCAGGCACUGUGCUAGUUACUUUGCAUGUAUAAUCUCAUUUAUCUUAGCGAAAUUCCAUAAGUACUAUUAUUGUAUCCAUUUUAUAGAUGAGAAAUCUGAACAGAGACAGUUUUUAAAAACUGUCCCAGGUCACACAGUUAGUAAGUUGUGGAGCUAGGACUCAAAAUCAGAUCUAUCUUCAAAGCUAGUAUGCUUAGUAUUUAUAAAGUACUUCAGUCAUAAUAGGAGUAUCAGUUAUCUAACUGCUAGGAAACAGAUCAUCCCAAAACUUAGUGGCUUAAGACAACCACCAUUUAUUUAGUCCACAAUUCUGUAGGCUAACAACUUAAGCUAGGCUCAGUUGGGUGGCUCUUCCGGUCUUUGCUGGGGUCCUUCAUGAUUCUGUGGUCAGCGGCAGGUUGACGGUGGCUCUGCUUGUGUGAGUUAAUGGGAUGUGGUCUAGGGUGCCUCGCCUCUCCUCCACAUGGUGUCUCUCAUCCUCCAGCAGGCCAGCCCAGGCUUUUUCCCCAUGGCAGUGACCUAGGCUUAGACCUUGUCUCAGAGGGGAUUAGUGCUCCUGUGGUCAACCAGGGUGAUUCUCUGCCCUUCUCUCCCUGUCCCCACAGGUCCAUUUGGGAACUCAUAUGAAACACAUUCAGGAUCUUCCCUUCCAACUCUUUCUUGUCGAUCGGUGUGAGAAUCUCUUGCUGAUUAGUAUCAAGUGACUGAUGAUACUUGCGUGAGUGCCUCUAUUGCCUGCAGGUAAGACCUCCUCUUUCCAUGCCUAGAGAAUGCUGGGGAAUAUGCUGAGUGCCUUUCACCUUACCCCGCAAGGCAACUGGGAGUUUUGAAACUAAUGAGGCUGAUUGUAGUCAGAGCCACUCUGAAAGGGCCACUCUGUGAAUGUCACAGUUCUUAGAUGUCUAGAAAGACGCUUCACAAAAAUGAUACCACCUUUUGCCUACAAAAGAAAUCAGUACAGUUAACCCUUGAACAACAUGGGUUUCAACUAUGCAGGUCCACUUAUGCACAGAUUUUCUUCUACCUCUGCCACCCCUGAGACA